Molecule: non-coding RNA, 354 nt
Organism: Cinara cedri
Lineage: Eukaryota; Metazoa; Arthropoda; Insecta; Hemiptera; Aphididae
Source: the annotation of a GenBank genome assembly
AGACAAUAGUCUAAUAUUAUAGAUAAAACAACAUAAUAAAACAAAUCAUAAUAUGAUGAGGUGUAGGCUGGAUAUGUUAAGUACGAUAAAACGAAAAUAAGUUUAAUUGAAUAUUUCCCCUACCCAUUAAAGUAAAAUACCUUAAAAUAGUCGUUAUCAAGUCUAGACUGCGUUUUCUGAAAGCGUGUGAGAAGAUGUGAGAUAGAUAUAAAAAGAUUGACAAUGAGCGUAUACCUAGGUAGGUUGAUAUAUCCAAAAAGAAAAAAGUGUUUGAAAUGAAGAUUGUACAGUGUACAUGCAGUAGUUAAAUUAUUUAAUUCACUAUAGAACAAAGUAGGUACACAAACGUUUAAA